Molecule: long non-coding RNA, 1060 nt
Filed under: Ananas comosus (pineapple)
Lineage: Eukaryota; Viridiplantae; Streptophyta; Magnoliopsida; Poales; Bromeliaceae
Description: long non-coding RNA (ACOM_LNC029942)
Source: RNAcentral
UAUACCCGUAAAAAGUUUUUAACUUUCUAAUUUACCCUUUUUAAAAGGCUAAUAUUGAAAAGGCUAAUAUUGAAAGUACUUUUUUUACGUUUCAAUUUAUUUCAAAUAUACAUCUAGAGUUAAAUUCUAUUAAUGAACUGUUAGCAAUAACUGUUAUCUAUAUGAAAUUACUAUUUUACCUUUUCAAAUAUAUCUUUUCAACACCACUGACUUUUCUUAUUUGUUCUUAAGUUAGGGGCAUAAAAAGUAUUUUAAUUUUGGUAUUUUCAAAUAUACCCUUCUACCAUAACCAAUCUUUCUUAUUUGCCCUUAAAUUAGGGGUAUAUAAAAAAAUAUUUUAAUUUUUUUUAACUCUAAUAAAUAUUUAACUCACGUUUAAACUAUGUUAACUUAACGGGUGAUAAGUAUAGGAAUAUUUUGGAAUAACGGAGGAAUAUAUGAGGAGUAUAUUAGAAAGAAAAAAAAAGUAGGAAUAUAUGAGAUAUUUUUAAAGUUUUGAGAGGUAUAUAGGCAAUUAUCCAUAUAUAUAUAUAUAUAGAGAGAGAGAGAAUUGAGCUCCUAUGCUUUUAAAAGUACCAAGACAUUAGUGCUUGUAAGUUUUUAGCCUUUAGAUUAAAAAAUAUGUGGUUAGGAAGAUAUGGGCCCUCUAGGGUUGAGUGGAUGGUUGGUUGAAUAGUAUAAUCUAACGGGUGUAAAUGAUCAACAGUGCUGAUCUAACGGUUAAAAACCUACAAGCACAAAGUGAUUGGUGCUUUUACAAGCACCAUAGCCGGACUAUAUAUAUAUAUAUAUAUAUAUAUAGUAUGGCUACUAUGCUAUCGGAAGCAUAGAGAAUCCGAUGCUUUCGAUUUUUUGACCCUUAGAUCAACUCCUUUGAUUAUUUCUAAUCUUUGGAUUAAUACUAUUACUCUAUGGAGACCACUCAACCCUAGGGGUACUACUCAAUCUUUGGGGACCGCAAUCAUCCCAACCGUAUAAUUUUUUAUCAAAAAGUCAAAAAUUCGAAAGUAUCAAAUCCUCUAUACUUCCGAUAGCAUAGUAGCUCUACACUAUAUAUAUA